Molecule: ribosomal RNA, 471 nt
Filed under: uncultured bacterium
Lineage: Bacteria
Description: bacterial SSU rRNA
Rfam family: Bacterial small subunit ribosomal RNA
Source: RNAcentral
GAUGUCGACUCCUACGGGAGGCAGCAGUGGGAAUAUUGCACAAUGGGCGCAAGCCUGAUGCAGCCAUGCCGCGUGUAUGAAGAAGGCCUUCGGGUGUAAAGUACUUUCAGCAGUGAGGAAGGUGGAUAUGUUAAUAGCAUAUUCAUUUGACGUUAGCUGCAGAAGAAGCACCGGCUAACUCCGUGCCAGCAGCCGCGGUAAUACGGAGGGUGCGAGCGUUAAUCGGAAUUACUGGGCGUAAAGCGCAUGCAGGUGGUUUGUUAAGUCAGAUGUGAAAGCCCGGGGCUCAACCUCGGAAUUUGCAUUUGAAACUGGCAAACUAGAGUACUGUAGAGGGGGUAGAAUUUCAGGUGUAGCGGUGAAAUGCGUAGAGAUCUGAAGGAAUACCGGUGGCGAAGGCGGCCCCCUGGACAGAUACUGACACUCAGAUGCGAAAGCGUGGGGAGCAAACAGGAUUAGAUACCCUGGUAG